Molecule: RNA transcript, 233 nt
Organism: Dermacentor albipictus
Lineage: Eukaryota; Metazoa; Arthropoda; Arachnida; Ixodida; Ixodidae
Source: RefSeq, a predicted model, not a curated record
ACUUUGCUUUGCACACGUGGCUACAUAGCUAUUGACGAUAUCAAAAUCCGGAGAAUAUGUCGCAAUUUCCUGGAAUGCUGAAAUGCGCUCUCUUUAUAGCAGUGUCUCUACUGAUGUCUACCAACGUAGUGGAAGCCCUUGCGGCGCUAAACUAUGGCUCCCAAAAGGCUCAAGAAUACUGGAAUGGCCGUUCCGAUGUUGAAACGAACCUCGAGUCUUGAAGACAAAUGUGC